AGCAGCCGCGGUAAUUCCAGCUCCAAUAGCGUAUAUUAAAGUUGUUGCAGUUAAAAAGCUCGUAGUUGAAUUUCGGGGUUAGUAGGCUGGUCAUGCCACUGGUAUGUACUGGUCUUACUGAUUCCUCCUUCCUGACGAACCGUAAUGCCAUUAAUUUGGUGUUGCGGGGGAUUUGGACUGUUACUUUGAAAAAAUUAGAGUGUUUAAAGCAGGCUAACGCUUGAAUACAUUAGCAUGGAAUAAUGGAAUAGGACGUUCGAUCCUAUUUUGUUGGUUCUAGGAUUGACGUAAUGAUUAAUAGGGAUAGUUGGGGGCAUUAGUAUUCAAUUGUCAGAGGUGAAAUUCUUGGAUUUAUUGAAGACUAACUACUGCGAAAGCAUUUGCCAAGGAUGUUUUCAUUAAUCAAGAACGAAAGUUAGGGGAUCGAAGACGAUCAGAUACCGUCGUAGU
This 450-nucleotide ribosomal RNA is filed under the name uncultured Glomeromycotina. Its description in RNAcentral is "SSU rRNA". It matches the Rfam family "Eukaryotic small subunit ribosomal RNA", at positions 569 to 1024 of the family's 1831-position model. The record is from RNAcentral. Lineage: Eukaryota; Fungi; Glomeromycota.